CCACGGGAGGCAGCAGUGAGGAAUAUUGGUCAAUGGGCGCGAGCCUGAACCAGCCAAGUAGCGUGAAGGAUGACUGCCCUACGGGUUGUAAACUUCUUUUAUAAAGGAAUAAAGUGAGGCACGUGUGCCUUUUUGUAUGUACUUUAUGAAUACGGAUCGGCUAACUCCGUGCCAGCAGCCGCGGUAAUACGGAGGAUCCGAGCGUUAUCCGGAUUUAUUGGGUUUAAAGGUAGCGUAGAUGGGUUGUUAAGUCAGUUGUGAAAGUUUGCGGUUCAACCGUAAAAUUGCAAUUGAUACUGGCAGUCUUGAGUACAGUAGAGGUAGGCGGAAUUCGUGGUGUAGCGGUGAAAUGCGUAGAUAUCACGAAGAACCCCGAUUGCGAAGGCAGCUUACUAAACUGUGACUGACAUUGAGGCUCGAAAGUGUGGGUAGCAAACAGGAUUAGAUACCCGAGUAGUC
This 459-nucleotide ribosomal RNA is filed under the name uncultured bacterium. RNAcentral describes it as "partial 16S ribosomal RNA". It matches the Rfam family "Bacterial small subunit ribosomal RNA", at positions 339 to 795 of the family's 1533-position model. The record is from RNAcentral.